UACGAAGGGGGCUAGCGUUGCUCGGAAUCACUGGGCGUAAAGGGCGCGUAGGCGGCCGAUCAAGUCAGGGGUGAAAGCCUGUGGCUCAACCACAGAAUUGCCUUUGAUACUGUUCGGCUCGAGACCGGAAGAGGUAAGUGGAACUGCGAGUGUAGAGGUGAAAUUCAUAGAUAUUCGCAAGAACACCAGUGGCGAAGGCGGCUUACUGGUCCGGUUCUGACGCUGAGGCGCGAAAGCGUGGGGAGCAAACAGG
Molecule: ribosomal RNA, 253 nt
Filed under: uncultured bacterium
Lineage: Bacteria
Description: partial 16S ribosomal RNA
Rfam family: Bacterial small subunit ribosomal RNA
Source: RNAcentral